GACGAACGCUGGCGGCGUGCUUAACACAUGCAAGUCGAACGGAAAGGCCCUGCUUUUGUGGGGUUCUCGAGUGGCGAACGGGUGAGUAACACGUGAGUAACCUUCCCUUUACUUUGGGAUAACUUCAGGAAACUUGUGCUAAUACCGGAUAUGAUCUCCUGCUGCAUUGUGUUGUUUGGUUAGUUUCGGCGGUUGGGGAUGGACUCGCGGCUUAUCAGCUUGUUUGUGGGGUAGUGGCUUACCAAGGCUUUGACGGGUAGCCGGCCUGAGAGGGUGACCGGAGACAUUGGGACUGAGAUACGGCGCAGACGAGUACGGGAGGCAGCAGUGGGGAAGAUUGCACAAUGGGCGGAAGCAUGAUGAAGAAACGCGGCGUGCGGGAUGACGGCCUUCGGGUUGUAAACAGCUUUAGCAUGUGACGAGGAGUGAGUGACGGUAAUGGGUAAAGAAGCAACGGCUAACUACGUG
This 468-nucleotide ribosomal RNA is filed under the name uncultured bacterium. RNAcentral's name for it is "partial 16S ribosomal RNA". It matches the Rfam family "Bacterial small subunit ribosomal RNA", at positions 28 to 507 of the family's 1533-position model. The record is from RNAcentral.